Molecule: ribosomal RNA, 960 nt
Filed under: Triticum aestivum (bread wheat)
Lineage: Eukaryota; Viridiplantae; Streptophyta; Magnoliopsida; Poales; Poaceae
Description: partial small subunit ribosomal RNA
Source: RNAcentral
AUGUCCGGCUCCUCCGAGCUGCCUUCCAUCGAUGGCGAUGGCGGCGGCGGCAUGCCGUGGCAGACCGCUUCGGCAACCGUUGCCCGGCCACUGCCCAUAUCCGGCUCGCACGUCCUCAAGAUCGACGGCUACUCCCGCACCAAGAGCCUCGUCAGCGGCGAAGGCGUCACGUCCGAGACCUUCGCUGUUGGACGCCAUCGCUGGUUCAUGAGGUACUUCCCGGACGGCCACUCGUCCGACCAAUCUGGUUGGAUAUCCAUCUAUCUCCAUCUUGUUCACCCCGAUAGUGAUGACGAUCACGUCGAUGCCCGGUGCAAGAUCAGUUUGCUCGACCAGGACGGGGAGCCGGUGCCGUCGCAUGGCGCCGACAGCCAAACAUGCCACACCUUCUCGAGCAACACGGGACCAUGGGGCUGUCCGUGGCUCAUCACAAGGAGGGACCUGGAGGAAUCGGUUUACCUCAAGGACGAUGUUUUCAGUGUCAAGUGCGAAAUCACCGUGCCCGGGGAGAUCUUCACGGAGCCCAUCUCCAUGUUUGUCGCCGCGCCGCCUUCUGACAUGCACCGCCAUUUUGGCCGGCUCCUCUCCACCGGCGACGGGGCUGAUGUCACGUUUGAGGUGGGGGGCGAGAGGAUUGCGGCGCACAGGUGCGUGCUCGCCGCUCGGUCAUCGGUGUUCAUGGCGGAGCUUCUUGGACCGGAGAAGAAGGAGAAGGCCGGUGCUUCUUGUGUGCGCAUCACUGGCAUGGAAGCUGGAGUGUUUAAGACCAUGCUCCAUUUCAUUUACACAGACUCGCUGCCAGACAUGGAGGAGGGUGACGCGGUAGUGAUGGCUCAACGUCUGCUUGUAGCGGCGAACGAGUAUAAACUUGAGAGGCUAAAGUUGCUUUGCACGCAGAAGCUCUGCAGAUACAUGGACAAAGACGUUGAGCCUCAUCAACCGUUCGUGAGCUUUGUUUGA